CAAUAGCGUAUGCUAAAGUUGUUGCAGUUAAAAGGCUCGUAGUCGAACCUAUGACUCUGUGAACUCGGCCCUAUCUCUAUGAGAUCUGGAGCCGACGUGCACGGGUCAUUCUUCUGGAGAACAGUGAUGCCCUUGAUUGGGUCGGUCGCUGGGACUCGGAUCAUUUACUGUGAGAAAAUCAGAGUGCUCAAAGCAGGCUUUAACGCUUGAAUGGUUCAGCAUGGAAUAAUAAGAUAAGACUUCGGUUUUAUGUUGUUGGCUCGUAGAACCAAAGUAAUGAUUGAAAGGGAUAGUUGGGGGUGCUAGUAUUGUAUGGUCAGCGGUGAAAUGCAAGGACCCAUAUAAGACUAACUUAUGCGAAAGCAUUCACCAAGGAUAUCUUCUUUGA
RNAcentral lists this ribosomal RNA (388 nucleotides) under uncultured eukaryote. RNAcentral's name for it is "partial 18S ribosomal RNA". It matches the Rfam family "Eukaryotic small subunit ribosomal RNA", at positions 592 to 976 of the family's 1831-position model. The record is from RNAcentral.